GAGUUUGAUCCUGGCUCAGAUUGAACGCUGGCGGCAGGCCUAACACAUGCAAGUCGAGCGGAAACGAGUUAACUGAACCUUCGGGGAACGUUAACGGCGUCGAGCGGCGGACGGGUGAGUAAUGCCUGGGAAAUUGCCCUGAUGUGGGGGAUAACCAUUGGAAACGAUGGCUAAUACCGCAUAAUAGCUUCGGCUCAAAGAGGGGGACCUUCGGGCCUCUCGCGUCAGGAUAUGCCCAGGUGGGAUUAGCUAGUUGGUGAGGUAAUGGCUCACCAAGGCGACGAUCCCUAGCUGGUCUGAGAGGAUGAUCAGCCACACUGGAACUGAGACACGGUCCAGACUCCUACGGGAGGCAGCAGUGGGGAAUAUUGCACAAUGGGCGCAAGCCUGAUGCAGCCAUGCCGCGUGUAUGAAGAAGGCCUUCGGGUUGUAAAGUACUUUCAGCAGUGAGGAAGGUGGGUAUGUUAAUAGCAUACUCAUUUGACGUUAGCUGCAGAAGAAGCACCGGCUAACUCCGUGCCAGCAGCCGCGGUAAUACGGAGGGUGCGAGCGUUAAUCGGAAUUACUGGGCGUAAAGCGCAUGCAGGUGGUUUGUUAAGUCAGAUGUGAAAGCCCGGGGCUCAACCUCGGAAUUGCAUUUGAAACUGGCAAACUAGAGUACUGUAGAGGGGGGGUAGAAUUUCAGGUGUAGCGGUGAAAAUGCNUAGAGAUCUGAAGGAAUACCGGGUGGGCGAAAGGCGGCCCCCCUGNAACAGAUACUGAUANCUCUGAUGGCNAAANCGNGNGGGANC
RNAcentral lists this ribosomal RNA (791 nucleotides) under uncultured bacterium. RNAcentral describes it as "bacterial SSU rRNA". It matches the Rfam family "Bacterial small subunit ribosomal RNA", at positions 9 to 769 of the family's 1533-position model. The record is from RNAcentral.